GUCCCUGUAGCUCAGCCGGACCCAGAGCGCCGCACUACGGAUGCGGAUGUCCCAGGUUCGAAUCCUGGUAGGGGCA
This 76-nucleotide transfer RNA is filed under the name Amycolatopsis thailandensis. RNAcentral describes it as "tRNA-Arg". It matches the Rfam family "tRNA". Rfam says of the family: Transfer RNA (tRNA) molecules are approximately 80 nucleotides in length. Their secondary structure includes four short double-helical elements and three loops (D, anti-codon, and T loops). Further hydrogen bonds mediate the characteristic L-shaped molecular structure. tRNAs have two regions of fundamental functional importance: the anti-codon, which is responsible for specific mRNA codon recognition, and the 3' end, to which the tRNAs corresponding amino acid is attached (by aminoacyl-tRNA synthetases). tRNAs cope with the degeneracy of the genetic code in two manners: having more than one tRNA (with a specific anti-codon) for a particular amino acid; and 'wobble' base-pairing, i.e. permitting non-standard base-pairing at the 3rd anti-codon position. Lineage: Bacteria; Bacillati; Actinomycetota; Actinomycetes; Pseudonocardiales; Pseudonocardiaceae. The record is from RNAcentral.